Pelobates cultripes (western spadefoot toad) is the source of this 355-nucleotide non-coding RNA. The record is from the annotation of a GenBank genome assembly. NCBI's taxonomy places the organism in Eukaryota, Metazoa, Chordata, Amphibia, Anura, Pelobatidae.
AUGACAGUGGUGGUAAUAUCAGUUCUUCUUACUCACCUAUUUCAGAGCUAUGGCCAGCUCAGGAGUGUGUAGCAUUUAGUGGCGUUGAUCCCCCACUGGUAGGAUAUAGGUGUUGGUAGGUACAGGUCCUCAGUAUAUAGAGAGAAAAAAAAACAAAUAGUGCUCUCUGUAAAUGACAAUAACGGAUAGGUAUAUAAAAGGUAUAAUACUCACAUAUAUGUGAGCAGGAAUAUACUGCUCACUAUAUUGGCAUAGGUGGUAUAAUCCCCACCUAGGACUAUGGCACAAGCACAGUAUUAGGGGCCAAUAUUCCUUCAUCAGGUGGCAAUAAAAACAAUACCUGGUACAUGAGCGU